CCGGUUGAUCCUGCCGGCGGUCACCGCUAUUGGAAUUUGAUUAAGCCAUGCGAGUCGAGAGGGUUCGGCCCUCGGCGGACUGCUCAGUAACACGUGGAUAACCCACCCUAGGAUGGGGGAUAACCUCGGGAAACUGAGAAUAAUACCCCAUAGGCAUAGGUUGCUGGAAUGCUCCUAUGCUAAAAGCUCCGGCGUCCUAGGAUGGGUCUGCGGCCUAUCAGGUUGUAGUGAGUGUAAAGGACUCACUAGCCGACGACGGGUACGGGCCAUGAGAGUGGUAGCCCGGAGAUGGAUUCUGAGACACGAAUCCAGGCCCUACGGGGCGCAGCAGGCGCGAAAACUUCGCAAUGCGCGAAAGCGCGACGAGGAAAUUCCAAGUGCAUGCACUAAGUGUAUGCUGUUUAUUAGUAUAAAACGCUAGUAGAGUAAGGGCUGGGUAAGACUGGUGCCAGCCGCCGCGGUAAUACCAGCGGCCCUAGUGGUGAUCGUUAUUAUUGGGCCUAAAGCGUCCGUAGCCGGCCCGGUAAAUCUCUGGGUAAAUCGAUGGGCUUAACUUAUCGAAUUCUGGGGAGACUGCUGGGCUUGGGACCGGGAGAGGUUGGAGGUACUCCAGGGGUAGAGGUGAAAUUCUGUAAUCCCUGUGGGACCACCGGUGGCGAAAGCGUCCAACCAGAACGGGUCCGACGGUAAGGGACGAAGCCCU
Molecule: ribosomal RNA, 703 nt
Filed under: uncultured archaeon
Lineage: Archaea
Description: bacterial SSU rRNA
Rfam family: Archaeal small subunit ribosomal RNA
Source: RNAcentral